GACGAACGCUGGCGGCGUGCUUAACACAUGCAAGUCGAACGGAAAGACCCUGCUUUUGUGGGGUGCUCGAGUGGCGAACGGGUGAGUAACACGUGAGUAACCUGCCCUUGACUUUGGGAUAACUUCAGGAAACUGGGGCUAAUACCGGAUAGGAGCUCCUGCUGCAUGGUGGGGGUUGGAAAGUUUCGGCGGUUGGGGAUGGACUCGAGGCUUAUCAGCUUGUUGGUGGGGUAGUGGCUUACCAAGGCUUUGACGGGUAGCCGGCCUGAGAGGGUGACCGGCCACAUUGGGACUGAGAUACGGCCCAGACUCCUACGGGAGGCAGCAGUGGGGAAUAUUGCACAAUGGGCGGAAGCCUGAUGCAGCAACGCCGCGUGCGGGAUGACGGCCUUCGGGUUGUAAACCGCUUUCGCCUGUGACGAAGCGUGAGUGACGGUAAUGGGUAAAGAAGCACCGGCUAACUACGUG
RNAcentral lists this ribosomal RNA (468 nucleotides) under uncultured bacterium. RNAcentral's name for it is "partial 16S ribosomal RNA". It matches the Rfam family "Bacterial small subunit ribosomal RNA", at positions 28 to 507 of the family's 1533-position model. The record is from RNAcentral.